AAGGCUUGCCUUUACCAGCCGGCGACCGGCGCACGGGUGAGUAACACGUAUGCAACCUGCCUGCCACUGCCGGAUAAUCGGGAGAAAUUCCGUCUAAUACGGCAUAAUGCAUCGACGGGACAUCCUGUUGGUGCCAAAGGUUGAUUCCGGUGGCGGAUGGGCAUGCGUCGCAUUAGUUAGUUGGCGGUGUAACGGACCACCAAGACGACGAUGCGUAGGGGUUCUGAGAGGAAGGUCCCCCACACUGGUACUGAGACACGGACCAGACUCCUACGGGAGGCAGCAGUGAGGAAUAUUGGUCAAUGGGCGGGAGCCUGAACCAGCCAAGUCGCGUGAGGGAUGACGGCCCUAUGGGUUGUAAACCUCUUUUGCCGGGGGGCAAAGUGCCGCACGUGUGCGGUUUGGAGAGUACCCGGAGAAAAAGCAUCGGCUAACUCCGUGCCAGCAGCCGCGGUAAUACGGAGGAUGCGAGCGUUAUCCGGAUUUAUUGGGUUUAAAGGGUGCGUAGGCGGACGCUUAAGUCAGCGGUAAAAUUGCGGGGCUCAACCUCGUCGAGCCGUUGAAACUGGGUGCCUUGAGUGGGCGAGAAGUACGCGGAAUGCGUGGUGUAGCGGUGAAAUGCAUAGAUAUCACGCAGAACUCCGAUUGCGAAGGCAGCGUACCGGCGCCCAACUGACGCUGAAGCACGAAGGCGUGGGUAUCGAACAGGAUUAGAUACCCUGGUAGUCCACGCAGUAAACGAUGAAUGCUAGUUGUCCGGGGCGAUUGAGUUCUGGGUGACACAGCGAAAGCGUUAAGCAUUCCACCUGGGGAGUACGCCGGCAACGGCGAAACUCAAAGGAAUUGACGGGGGCCCGCACAAGCGGAGGAACAUGUGGUUUAAUUCGAUGAUACGCGAGGAACCUUACCCGGGCUCAAACGCAGGAGGGAUGUUUUUGAAAGGAGGCAGCCAGCAAUGGUCUCCUGCGAGGUGCUGCAUGGUUGUCGUCAGCUCGUGCCGUGAGGUGUCGGCUUAAGUGCCAUAACGAGCGCAACCCCUACCUACAGUUGCCAUCGCGUGAUGGCGGGCACUCUGUGGGGACUGCCUGCGCAAGCAGUGAGGAAGGCGGGGAUGACGUCAAAUCAGCACGGCCCUUACGUCCGGGGCGACACACGUGUUACAAUGGCAGGUACAGCGGGAAGCCACCCGGCGACGGGGCGCGGAACCCGAAAACCUGUCUCAGUUCGGAUUGGAGUCUGCAACCCGACUCCAUGAAGCUGGAUUCGCUAGUAAUCGAGCAUCAGCCACGGCGCGGUGAAUACGUUCCCGGGC
Molecule: ribosomal RNA, 1312 nt
Filed under: uncultured bacterium
Lineage: Bacteria
Description: bacterial SSU rRNA
Rfam family: Bacterial small subunit ribosomal RNA
Source: RNAcentral